This 498-nucleotide ribosomal RNA is filed under the name uncultured bacterium. RNAcentral's name for it is "partial 16S ribosomal RNA". It matches the Rfam family "Bacterial small subunit ribosomal RNA", at positions 28 to 523 of the family's 1533-position model. The record is from RNAcentral.
GAUGAACGCUAGCGGCAGGCCUAAUACAUGCAAGUCGAACGAUAGAAGAGGGCUUGCUCUCUUCGAAAGUGGCGCACGGGUGCGUAACGCGUAUGCAACCUACCUUAAUCAGGGGGAUAGCCCGAAGAAAUUCGGAUUAACACCGCAUAAAAUCACAGUACAGCAUUGUACAAUGAUCAAAUAUUUAUAGGAUUAAGAUGGGCAUGCGUGACAUUAGCUAGUUGGCGGGGUAACGGCCCACCAAGGCGACGAUGUCUAGGGGAUCUGAGAGGAUGACCCCCCACACUGGUACUGAGACACGGACCAGACUCCUACGGGAGGCAGCAGUAAGGAAUAUUGGUCAAUGGAGGCAACUCUGAACCAGCCAUGCCGCGUGCAGGAAGACGGCCCUCUGGGUUGUAAACUGCUUUUAUUCGGGAAUAAACCUCAUUACGUGUAAUGAGCUGAAUGUACCGAAGGAAUAAGGAUCGGCUAACUCCGUGCCAGCCGCCGCAGUAA